Long non-coding RNA from Peromyscus eremicus (cactus mouse), 2485 nucleotides. RefSeq lists it as uncharacterized. The record is from RefSeq and is a predicted model, not a curated record. The transcript has 2 exons. Lineage: Eukaryota; Metazoa; Chordata; Mammalia; Rodentia; Cricetidae.
CAGAUGCCCCCAUAUUCCGCCGUGUUUGCGUCAACAGCCUGCACUUUAACAGUUAAAUUCUGUCGACAGUCCUUGGAUACGGAACAGUCCCAACAAAGGACAAAAGUUAACCUAAAAUGCUGGCAUCCUACAGGGUUGCAAAUUAUGGGAUAGCAACAGAAGAGCAAAGUCCCUGGAAAGGGAAGUUCCUGCCUCUCCUGGAACAGAGAUCCCUGCGGUCUCCUAAAUGUCAGUAAAAGACCCGGAGGGGAUUGGAAAGUAAUCAAGUGUCUGUGCACAAAAGAAGCUUCAGCAGCAGCUCCCCAUCUGCACCAGCUUCGGUGAGAUACCUGAGUCUCAUGACAUAAAAAUACAUUGCUGCCAAUAAAAUCUCUGAAGACUGACCAUCUGUGCUGUGAGGAGGUGCCAGCACAGACCGGCUGUAGCAGAAAUGGGAAAGAGCAGCCCUGACAGGGUGACUGACGCCACCUCCCCGACCUGUGCAUGCAACUCACAGAAAGCACUCAGAUGCCAUUUUGGAAGAAAUGUUUUCAAGUUCAUUUCGCACACAUCAAAUAAAGAAAAAAAAAAAAAAGUAAACCAAAAUCUUAACUUCCUUCAUCACAGACCUCUCGUCCUAGGGAAGUCUGUGUUUACAAAAAGUUGUUCUGUUUCCCCUUUGAAUUAAAUAAAUCCUAAGACUAAAACAAAACAACAGAUAUGGCAACAUAAACUUACUCCGUCUUUUCCCGACAUCCCCUUUGGAAGUUGCUGCUUCAUUUAGAAGAACCAUCCCCAUGGUGAUAGCAGCAUCUACAGUAGUUGUCAAGGAAACCAUAGACAGUGCUGAACACUGAAUACUGCACAUCUCAUCUGAAAAGCUCUUGAAUUUCUUACAAAUUGAAGAUUUCCUGAUAGAAGAUCCUAAGAUUUUUUUAAGAGUAUAAAAUACUUUACUGCUUUGUCUCAAGGCACCAGGCUGUUCCACCAUCACACUUUCUCUUACAGAUACUGCUGCAAAGGAUUACUCCUUACAGGACUCUUUACAUGUAUGCACAGAUCUCCUGCACGCAGCCACAGGGCAUUCGAGGCUAGGCAUGUGUACUUUCCAACUUGUUAGCUGUAAUGGUACUGCUCUGGAGGAAGAAAAGCGUUUCCAUUUUCCUUACCGUGCAUGGAGUACUGCUGCACUGCUGAUACCAGCAAGUUGUAAGGAAGAAGCAGCACCACCACUCGAGGCUGGGCAUUUCUGCCAUGCUUACUGCUUCUGUCAGUUCUCUUCUGCCCAGUUAAGCAUCUGGAUUUGCCAAUGGCUAUGUCUCCAUUUUGUUCUGAAUACUAGUUGAACAAAGUGUUAUACACAGACUCUCCUACUUUAUGUCUUUGGCAUUUAUUUCAUCAUGCAGAAGUUUGUACUUUUAAUGUGGAGAAAUUCAUGUUUUGCUCCUGUUCUUGCUUAUGAAAUGACUUUCUAUCUCUAGGUCUAAAUAUUCCCUGAUCUUUUCUUCUCAGAGCUGUAAAAGUCAAGCCACGCCACUGUUCUGUCAUGUCCCAUCGCAUCCUUGUGUUCCCUACCACUGCAACCCUAGACCACAAGGGACCGAAAAAAAAUUCUUUUGUUGACUAUCUUACAGAUGUUGAUGCAGGUACUACUACCAGUUUGUAAAUAAAACAGCUGAAGCUUACAGCGACUCUAAGUAAGUCACCCAAAACAUGCAAACUGGGCAAACUUAACAAAAUGACAGAGAGGUCUGGGACAAUGGGAAAAUGGUGAGGAUGGGGCCAAGGGGAGAAAAGCAAACAGAACCAGCAUACGAUGAACGCUGAAUCCCAGCGUAAGAUGCUGACUACAACACUGUUUUCAUAAACACAAAAACGUAUUUUACUAUCCUAAAACAUUCAUAUUAGAUUCUUAGAAAUCAAUUUGCAAAUAUUAAAUUCUUUCUGAAACACAUAGAAUAUGACCUGGCAUUAUAUGCUUAUAUUUCACAUUGAAAUCAAAUUCUCAAAAUAUUCUGUAGACUAGAGUGACAGAGUACUAUGUAGAGAUAAUUCCUAUUAACCAAGCAAGAAGGAACUAGAAACCUAAGGUUUAAAAUUCUCAGGUUUCAGGAUGUUAGAAAUUUAGUGCUGAGUGUAUACGUAAGGAAUUACUAUCACCUCCAUAAAGGGAUUCCUAUGAAUUCCUAGAAUUAUUUACUAUAAUCUAAAAUCUAAAACACCAGAAGUCUUAAUAUACAAGUGACAAAGGCUUUAAAUGUCAAAAGAAUGAGGCUGAGGGGAAGCAUGAGGCAUAGACCACAGUGAGCAAGGUUAUUCUGAGAUAGCACCAGAGCUUCCGCCAACUCCUGAAGAUCGUGACUGCAUUACAAGCACCUUCCACCUCUCCUGUAAUGGUUUCCCUGGAUUGUACAGCCUAUUGAGCCAUGUGUGACCAGCCUCUCAACAACAUAGGUUAUUAUUCCUCAAUCUAAUUCUAUUGAUUAAAUAUGCUCUUUGACAUGUU